AUGCUAACACGUAAUUUUAGCCAAAAUAUUUUUUUUGAGAAAUGGCAGUGGAAACGCCUGUAUGCGGAAAUAUUGAUAUAAUAACCAUCAUAUCGAAGUAAAUUUGGAGUCACGCAAUAUGGUGUGUGGUCCUCCCACUACGACCAGAAUAGGACUCGGGAAACGAUGCAGUUUAUUAAACCACAGAUUAAAUAAAUGAUGACUAACUUCAUAGGAUGGUGAAAGUGUACGAUGAUGAGCUUGAUGCUACUUUCAAAUAAAUAUUGAGCGUCUUAUUCUUGCGACAUAAUGAUAUAUGCUUGACAAACAAAUUAUUCUCGCUCUUAUGUAAUCAUCACGUAAACCAGCCUACCAGCACUGUAUCUGUGAGCUGUUGGCUAGAGUGCAAGUGCCAAAACCAGAGUUGGAACAUUUGCUAUUUAAUGCAACAGUUUGUGACAGAACUAUCGGUAGGGGCAGAUUUGAAAAUGCGAUGGAAACACAUUGAACCUGAGAUUAUUCUUCGCUACAUGAAAAUGUCCGUUUUGGAGCGGCUGAUAGGGCAUCACCUGUACGCCAAGGCGGAGAAGUUCCUUUUCUCUCAGCAGGCGGUCUCCUUCCUGGGCUAUUGAAUAUGCACUGCGGGGCUAGAGAUGGAAGAGGUGUGUUCUAGGCUAUCAGCCGGCCCUGACACCGGAGUCAGAUCGAGGCUCCUGCAGUGGAUGAUUGGUUCCGGCAGAAGACGCAGGCCGAUCGUCACCGCAGUCUGGCCCCGGUCUUUCACCCCGAUGACAAGCUCUGGCUUUCUACGAAGGACCUGCCCCUCCGCCUGUCCUGCCAGAAGCUGAGCCUGUGAUUUAUGGGGCCGUUCAAAGUCCUGAGGAGAGUCAAUGAGGUGACGUACAGAUUACAGAUUACAAUUAUCGUAUCUCAGCCUCAUUUCAUGUAUCUCUCCACAGGCCGGUGGCAGCUGGUCCCUUGGCUAGUGUUGGACCCCACAACGCACCUCCCCCUCUCUUGGACUUCAAGGGGGCCCUGGCAUACUCCGUCCGCAGCCUGCGUCGUGGGGGCUUCUCCAGUACCCGGUCGGCUGGGAGGGCUACGGUCCGAAGAGCGGUGAUGGGUUCCGGCACAGGAUGUCCUGGAUCGUUCUCUCCUUCGGGACUUCCACAGAUGUCGUCCCGACCUAUCUGCACUGUGUCUCCGGGGUCAUCCCCAAAAUCAGCGGCGCCCCACAGGGGUAGGAACUGUCACACCAGCCUUCACUAUGACUCCCUGUCCUGUCCAGCUAAGGCGUUCGGCGUCGCCGGCCUUCUAGCUGCUGCUGAACCUACUCCCCGGACUUAUCAUCAUCAUCAUUACACACACCUGGUUCCAAUCCCCACUCUAUAUAUACUCCCUCUGCCAUUUGUCAUUGUAAAUGUUACUUGUUUUCCUGAGAGGAAUCUCUCCUACUUUUUCCUGAGUACUUUAUAUUCUGCACUUUGGGUUCGUGUUGUGCCUUUUUGUUUAUGAAGAUAUAGUUUGAGUACAACAGCGUUUGGGUUUCAUCCCGCUUUGAUCUAUGGUGCUUAAAUAAAUUCAGUAGUUCUAAACCUGCAACUGCCUCCUGCCUACUCCUCUCUACACCAGUGACAACGGUUAAUGUCCUGGGAGACAAAUUUACCUUUCAGCAGGACAAUACCCGAAAACACAAUGACAAAUAUACACUGGAGUUGUUUACCAAGACAACAUGGAAUGUUCCUGAUUGGCCUAGUUAUAGUUUUGACUUAAAUCGGCUUAAAUCUAUGGCAAGACUUAAAUGACUGUCUAGCAAUGAUCAACAACCAACUUGACAGAGCUUGAUUUUUUGUUUUUUAAGAAUUUAUUUUAUUUCAGCUUUAUUUUACCAGGUAGGCUAGUUGAGAACAAGUUCUCGUUUACAACUACGACCUGGCCAAGAUAAAGCAAAGCAGUGCGACACAAACACAGAGUUACACAUGGAAUAAACAAGUGUGCAGUCAAUAACAAAAUAGAAAAAAAGAAAGUCUAUAUACAGUGUGUGCAAAUGGAAUGAGGAGGUAAGGCAAAUAGGCCAUAGUAGCGAAGUAAUUACAAUUUAGCAAAUUAACACUGGAGAGAUAGAUGUGCAGAUGAUGAUAUGCAAGUAGAAGUACUGGUGUGCAGAAAAGUAAAUAAAAACAAUAUGGGAUGAGGUAGGUAGAUUGGAUGGGCUAUGUACAGCUGCAGCGAUCAGUUAGCUGAUGUUUAAAGUUAGUGAGGGAAAUCUAAAUCUCCAGCGUUUUUUUUUUUUUUUGCAAUUCGUUCCAGUCAUUGGCAGCAGAGAACUGGAAGGAAAGGCGGCCAAAGUAGUUGUUGGCUUUGUACAAAUAUUGAAUACAAAUAUUGUACAAAUCAGAUAUGCAAAUCUCUUAGACUUACCCAGAAAGAGCUGUAAUCACUGCCAAAGGUGAUCCUAGCAUGUAUUGACAUAUAUUAUUUUAUGUCACAGCCUUACUCUAAAAUAUAUAUUUUUUAAACAAUCAAUCUACACACAAUACCCAAUAAUGAAGUAAAAACAUUUUUUUUUGCAAAUGUAUUAAAAAUAAACUGAAAUAUCACAGUUACAUAAGUAUUUAGACCCUUUAAACUCAGUACUUUGUUGAAGCACCUUUGGCAGCGAUUACAGCCUUGAGUCUUCUUGGGUAUGACACGUCAAGCUUGACACCUGGCUGGGCCACUCAAGAACAUUCAGAGACUAGUCCCGAAGCCACUUCUGCGUUGUCUUGCCUAUGUGCUUAGGGUCCUGUUGGAAGGUGAACCUUCACCCCAGUCUGAGGUCCUGAGUGCUCUGGAGCAGGUUUUCCUCAAGGAUCUCUCUGUACUUUGUUCCGUUCAUCUUUUCCUCGAUCCUGACUAGUCACCCACUCCCUGCCACUGAAAAACAUCCCCACAGCAUAAUGCUGCCACCACCAUGCUUCACAGUAGAGAUGGUGACAGAUUUCCUCCAGACGUGACGCUGGGCAUUUAGGCCAAAGAGUUCAAUCUUGGUUUCAUCAGACCAGAGAAUCUUGUUUCUCAUGGUCUGAGUCCUGUAGGUGCCUUUUGGCAAACUGCAAGCGAGCUGUCAUGUGCCUUUUACUGAGGAGUGGCUUCCGUCUGACCACUCUAACAUAAAGGCCUGAUUGAUGGAGUGCUGCAGACAUUGUUGUCCUUCUGGAAGGUUCUCCCAUCUCCACAGAAGAACUCUGGAACUCUAUCAGAGGGGCCAUCGGGUUCUUUGACACAUCCCUGACCAAGGCCCUUCUCCCCCGAUUGCUCAGUUUGGCCGGGCGGCCAGCUCUAGGAAGAGUUUUGGUGGUUCUAACCUUAUUCCAUUUAAGAAUGAUGGAGACCACUGUGUUCUUGGGGACCUUCAAUGCUGCAAACAUUUUUUGGUACUUUUCCCCAGACCUGUGCCUCGACACAAUCCUGUCUCAGAGCUCUGCAGACAAUUUCUUCGACCUCAUGGCUUGGUUUUUUCUCUGACAUGCACUGUCAGCUGUGGGACCUAAUAUAGACAGGUGUGUGCCUUUCCAAAUCAUGUCCAAUCAAUUUAAUUUUCCACAGGUGGACUCCAAUCAAGUUGAAGAAACAUCUCAAGGAUGAUCAAUGGAAACAUGAUGCACCUGAGCUCAAUUUCGAGUCUCAUAGCAAAGGGGCUGAAUAAAUCAAAUCAAAUUUUAUUAGUCCCAUGCGCUGAAUACGACAACAGGUGUAGUAGACCUUACAGUGAAAUGCUUACUUAUGAGCCCCGAACCGACAAUGCAGUUAAAACAUUUUUAAAGUAAAAUAUGAAAUAAGAGUAACAAGUAAUUAAAGAGCAGCAGUAAAAUAACAAUAGCGAGACUAUAUACAUGGGGGUACCGGUACAGAGUCAAUGUGCGGAGGCACCGGUUAGUCAAGGUAAUUGAGGUAAUAUGUACAUAUAGGUAGGGUUAUUAAAGUGGGGGUGGGAGGUGGGGGGGCAAUGCAAAUAGUCUUGGUUGGCAUUUGAUUAGAUGUUCAGGAGUCUUAUGGCUUGGGGGUAGAAGCUGUUAAGAAGCCUCUUGGACCUAGACUUGGCGCUCCGGUACCACUUGCUGCGCCGUAGCGGAGAGAACAGUCUACGACUAGGGUGGCUGGAGUCUUUGACAAUUUUUAGGGCCUUCCUCUGACACCGCCUGAUAUAGAGGUCCUGGAUGUCAGGAGGCUUGGCCCCACUGGGCUGUACGCACUACCCUCUGUAGUGCCAUGCGGUCGGAGGCCGAACAGUUGCCAUACCAGGCAGUGAUGCAACCAGUCAGGAUGCUCUCGAUGUUGCAGCUGUAGAACCUUUUGAGAAUCUGAGGACCCAUGUCAAAUCUUUUCAGUCUCCUGAGGGGGAAUAGGUUUUGUCGUGCCCUCUUCACGACUGUCUUGGUAUGCUUGGACCAUGUUAGUUUGUUGAUGAUGUGGACACCAAGGAAUACUUAUGUAAAUAAGUUAUUUCUGUUUUUAAUUUUUAAUACAUUUGCAGAAGUUUCUAAAAACCUGUUUUUGCUUUGUUUUUAAUAGGGUAUUUGUGUGUAGAUUGAUGAGAAAAAAAUAUUUAAUCAAUUUUAGAACAAGGCUGUACUGUAAGAAAAUGUGGAAUAAGUCAAGGGGUCUGAAUACUUUCCAAAUGCACUCUAUUUCUAAAUUUAAUGUUCAAUAAAUGUGCAAAAAUGUCUAAAAACAUGUUAUAACUUUGUCAUUAUGGGGUAUUUUGUGUAGAUGGGUGAGAAAAAAUAUAAUUUUGAUCCAUUUUGAAUUCAGGCUGUGACACAACAAAAUGUGGAAUUCCUGUCGAAAUAAAGGUUACAUUAUAUUUUUAUUUUUAUUUUUGUGGUAUUUAUAUAACAUUUUCAGUAAAAUAACUUUUAGGGGAGAAUACACACCAAUACAGCACUAUGUGUACAUUCAGAGGGUAGCUGGUUUCUGUAUUACAGUUCUACCAAGUAUUCAUACCACUGACACUUUCUUCAGCUGUUUUGAUUGUGACUAAGCAUAUAUCUAAGGUAAUGUUGAUUUUGUACAUUGUCAUACCUCCACCCUCUGAUGAUAUGUCAUUUGUAAUUAUGUCUCCAGAGAAACCUCGAUUUAAAAAAAAAUUGCCCUAGAAUAACUACUUUUCGGGGGAAUACACAUCAAUACAGAGUGUAUCUGAGUUCUGUUUUUCAGAUCUAUCAAGUAUUUAUACCAUUGGCAGAUUUUUUAUAUGCACAAAAAUAAGGCAAUUUUAGGCAAGUACACGGGGAGCCAAAGGAAACACUAACAUAAAGUGUCUUAAUAGGGAAUUGAUCCACUAGAACAGCUUUAAUGCACCAUGGCAUAGAUUCUACAAGUGUCUGGAAUUCUAUUGGAGGGAUAUGACACCAUUCUUCCAUGAGAAAUUCCCUAAUUUGUUCUGUUGAUGGUGGUGGAAAACACUAUCUCAGGUGCUGCUCCAGAAUCUCCCAUAAGUGUUCAUUUGGGUUGAGAUCUGGUGACAGACAGACAGACACACACACACACACCCUUUAAACCCCCUAUGCUCCUUUGAGACCCCUCGUUCAAAGUCACUGAGAUCUCAUCUUCUAGCCAUGGUAGCCAAAAUAAUGAGAAACUGGGCUAUUUUAUACAUGAUCCUAAGCAUGAUGGAAUGUUAAUUGCAGUGGAAGCAGGGCUGUCUUACCGAACGGGCACGCAUGGCACAUGCCCUGGUGCCCCGUAGAGGUAUGCACUAGUCCAGCACUGUGUGGAAGCACCUGCUUUCAAUAUACUUUGUAUCCCUCAUAAGUGUUUCCUUUAUUUUGGUGGUUACCUGUAUAUCUUUGCGGAUGAUCUGUCUAUCUAGUCAAAAUCACCGAUACAGGUCCCCCUCCACCCUUUGGUGGUAUGGAUAACUUGUAAUUAUGUUUCCAGAGAAACUUAGAUUUAAAUAAAGGUCCUAUUUAUCACAUUUCAAUAGGCGGACGUACGUGUUUUUGGCUGGGGUACAUUUUUUAAAAGUCCAUGUUGAUACAGAAACAUUAAACAAUGAUUUAGAUUUGUUAAGAACAAGUUGAUUGACAAGGUUAUGAAACGUUUGAAGAAUUUUGACCCCAUUUAGUAGCUUAAGGGUUAAAGCCACACAAUGUUCUGCGCACAUCAUCAAAGAGUGGGUCAAUUUGACAUGCAACCGUCAGGUGAUCUCCAUAUAUGUAAUGCUCAAGGAGUGACAUUCCAUGAGAGCGUUCUACAUGAUUUGAAACAUUGCUUCGUUUGUUUACAAAAUCUAUUACAACAAAUCAAUGGUAACAGGUCCCUCAUUUGUUUUAUAUACUGUAUAUAGUAAGAUUCCCCUGCAUCCCACUGCUGGUUUUCCUCUGAAGCUAAGCAGGGUAGGUCCCUGAAUGGGAGACCAGCUGCUGCUGGAAUUGGUGUUGGAGGGCCAACAGGGGACACUCUUCCCUUCUGAUCUAAGGUGAUCCCAAUGACCAGGGCAGUGAAGGGGAAAUUGCCCUGUGUAGGGUGCUGUCUUUCAGAUGGGAUGUUAAACAGGUGUCCAGACUUCCUGUGGUCAUUAAAAAUGAUAUGGCACUCAUUGUAAGAGUGUUAAACACGGUGUCAUAGCUAAAUUCCAAACCUGGCCCCAUUCCAUCAUGGCCACCUAUUCACUCCCCUCAUUCCUAAUUGGCAUGUAUCACUCCCCACCUUAAUAGCUGAUGUGUGGUGAGUGUUCUGGCACAAAAAUGGUUGCCGUGCAUCACCCAAGUGGGUGCUACACAUUGGUGGUGUAUGAGAUGAGUUUACCCCUCAUUUAUUUAUAAAGCCCUUUUUACAUCUGCGGGUGUCACAAAGUGUUAUACAGAAACCCAAACAGCAAGCAAUGCAGCUUUGAGUACCUCAGUUGGUAGAAAUGUGCUAUAUAAAUCAAAUGUAUUAUUAAAAACAUUUGAACAAUUUGCAUAAAAUAACUCAUCAACAGUAACUCCUUAACCAUUCAAGCUAGAGACACCAACCCAACUUUCUCAUGUUAUCCUAUCUUCAAAUUGUCACGUUCUGACCAUAGUUCUUUUUGUAUUUUCUAUGUUUUAGUGUGGUCAGGGCGUGAGUUGGGUGGGUAUGAUCUAUGUUUUCUGUUUCUAUGUGGGGUUUCUCGUUUGGCCUGAUAUGGUUCUCAAUCAGAGGCAGGUGUUAGUCAUUGUCUCUGAUUGGAACCAUAUUUAGGUAGCCUGUGUUCUAUUGUGUUUUGUGGGUGGUUGUCUUUGUGUGUCUGCACCAGAUAGAACUGUUUUGGUUUUCACGGUUGUUGUUUUUGUAU
Long non-coding RNA from Salvelinus fontinalis (brook trout), 7282 nucleotides. RefSeq lists it as uncharacterized. The transcript is spliced from 3 exons. The record is from RefSeq and is a predicted model, not a curated record. NCBI's taxonomy places the organism in Eukaryota, Metazoa, Chordata, Actinopteri, Salmoniformes, Salmonidae.